This 301-nucleotide ribosomal RNA is filed under the name uncultured bacterium. Its description in RNAcentral is "partial 16S ribosomal RNA". It matches the Rfam family "Bacterial small subunit ribosomal RNA", at positions 509 to 807 of the family's 1533-position model. The record is from RNAcentral.
CAGCAGCCACGGUAAUACAGAGGGUGCAAGCGUUAAUCGGAAUUACUGGGCGUAAAGCGCGCGUAGGUGGUUCGCCAAGUUGGAUGUGAAAUCCCCGGGCUCAACCUGGGAACUGCAUCCAAAACUGGCGAGCUAGAGCAUGGUAGAGGGUGGUGGAAUUUCCUGUGUAGCGGUGAAAUGCGUAGAUAUAGGAAGGAACAUCAGUGGCGAAGGCGACCACCUGGACUGAUACUGACACUGAGGUGCGAAAGCGUGGGGAGCAAACAGGAUUAGAUACCCCGGUAGUCCCUGUCUCUUAUAC